RNAcentral lists this ribosomal RNA (495 nucleotides) under uncultured bacterium. RNAcentral describes it as "partial 16S ribosomal RNA". It matches the Rfam family "Bacterial small subunit ribosomal RNA", at positions 28 to 507 of the family's 1533-position model. The record is from RNAcentral.
GAUGAACGCUGGCGGCGUGCCUAAUACAUGCAAGUAGAACGCUGAAGGAGGAGCUUGCUCUUCUGGAUGAGUUGCGAACGGGUGAGUAACGCGUAGGUAACCUGCCUGUUAGCGGGGGAUAACUAUUGGAAACGAUAGCUAAUACCGCAUGACAACAGUUAUUGCAUGAUAACUGUUUAAAAGGGGCAACUGCUCCACUACCAGAUGGACCUGCGUUGUAUUAGCUAGUUGGUGAGGUAACGGCUCACCAAGGCGACGAUACAUAGCCGACCUGAGAGGGUGAUCGGCCACACUGGGACUGAGACACGGCCCAGACUCCUACGGGAGGCAGCAGUAGGGAAUCUUCGGCAAUAGACGGAAGUCUGACCGAGCAACGCCGCGUGAGUGAAGAAGGUUUUCGGAUCGUAAAGCUCUGUUGUAAGAGAAGAACGAGUGUGAGAGUGGAAAGUUCACACUGUGACGGUAUCUUACCAGAAAGGGACGGCUAACUACGUG